RNAcentral lists this microRNA precursor (100 nucleotides) under Marmota monax (woodchuck). The record is from RNAcentral. Lineage: Eukaryota; Metazoa; Chordata; Mammalia; Rodentia; Sciuridae.
AAUGGAAUAACUGGGUCAAAUGGUUUCAUUUCAAGUUUUCUAAGGAAUCUCCAUACUGCUUUCCAUAGUGCUUGCACCAAUUAGCAGUCCCACCAGAAAU